Molecule: ribosomal RNA, 447 nt
Filed under: uncultured bacterium
Lineage: Bacteria
Description: partial 16S ribosomal RNA
Rfam family: Bacterial small subunit ribosomal RNA
Source: RNAcentral
UGCCCAGACUCCUACGGGAGGCAGCAGUGGGGGAUAUUGCACAAUGGGGGAAACCCUGAUGCAGCGACGCCGCGUGGGUGAAGAAGCGCCUCGGCGCGUAAAGCCCUGUCAGCAGGGAAGAAAAUGACGGUACCUGAAGAAGAAGCCCCGGCUAACUACGUGCCAGCAGCCGCGGUAAUACGUAGGGGGCAAGCGUUAUCCGGAUUUACUGGGUGUAAAGGGGGCGCAGACGGCGAUGCAAGCCAGGAGUGAAAGCCCGGGGCCCAACCCCGGGACUGCUCUUGGAACUGCGUGGCUAGAGUGCAGGAGGGGCAGGCGGAAUUCCUGGUGUAGCGGUGAAAUGCGUAGAUAUACGGAGGAACACCAGUGGCGAAGGCGGAUUGCUGGACAGUAACUGACGCUGAGGCGCGAAAGCGUGGGGAGCAAACAGGAUUAGAUACCCGAGUA